This 436-nucleotide long non-coding RNA is filed under the name Homo sapiens (human). RNAcentral's name for it is "HSALNT0318108". The record is from RNAcentral. Lineage: Eukaryota; Metazoa; Chordata; Mammalia; Primates; Hominidae.
CUCCUGCCUCAGCCUCCCGAGUAGCUGGGACUACAGGCGCCCGCCACUGCGCCCGGCUAAUUUUUUUUUUUUUUUGUAUUUUUAGUAGAGACGGGGUUUCACCGUGUUAGCCAGGAUGGUCUUGAACUCCGGACCUUGUGAUCCGCCCGCAUCGGCCUCCCAAAGUGCUGGGAUUACAGGCGUGAGCCACUGCGCCCGGCCCCUCUUUCUUUUUUUUUUUCAACAGGGGAACUUCUUUGGCAGCACUACUCCAAUUAUUCCCAGCAGCCUCUUGGGUAGGGUGGAGGGGCUGGCUGUGUGAAUGGUGUCUUCUGGAGGAGCUGUGCUUUUUUUUAUAUAGCUAAAUAGAACUCAUCUUUCAAGAUUCAGCUGAGGUCUCCCAUCUUCAGGAAGCCUGCUCUGGCCCUUCUGUGUGGUCCAUAAGGCAGGGCUCCCC